Molecule: long non-coding RNA, 2481 nt
Organism: Scylla paramamosain (green mud crab)
Lineage: Eukaryota; Metazoa; Arthropoda; Malacostraca; Decapoda; Portunidae
Exons: 3
Source: RefSeq, a predicted model, not a curated record
UGGUGGCAGCGGUGGAGUCCUUUAUAUCCGGAACAUGUUGUUAGCUUUACUCUGUCGUGCUGUAGGUAUAACCUACGGACUAAGUGAAUAUGUGGCCCCUGGCUGAGUGAGUGGUAGUCUACCGCCCACUCCUGCUGGGCCCACAGUUACCUUCAACUGCUACCAGCACUGAUGUCUGUCUGACUGGAUACUCCAUGCCCAUCUCCAGUACCUGUGCACACCACAAAUCACUGUUACUUGUUAUAAUAAACACUGUUAUGGGUAAUCACUUCAAUCACACCGGAUUACAAGAACUUUCGUUUUCUUCUGUAUAAACAAAGCUUUCUGUUUUAACAUAGUUGAUAUAUUACACAGUGAGCGAGAAGACAGUUGUGGUGGGAUGCUUCGCCUGCCCCUGCAUUCCAUUCUCUGGUCCCCUGGGACCUGACGCAAAGCUUCUGACCGUCCUCCUAUCACCACGUGGGAGUGAAGUCAACUCUCGCCCCUUUGUCUCUUGGACGCCAGCCCCAGCUGUGACCUGAGCCAGCCCAGCAACCACCCCAGCAUCGGGAUUCCUUGCCCGCCUUGCCUCGGUGGCGGACAUGUGGCUCAGUGGCAGCUCAUCAUAUCAUCUUUGUACAGUUUUGAUUUAAUAUACUGCAGUUGAUUUUACAACUGUAUUUCUUUGGCCACCACCUCUACACAGUACUAGAAGAACCUGAUUACCUAGUGCAUAAAAAUAGUAGCAGCGGUGAGAUGGAGUUUUCUUGGCUACUCAACUCCUGCCCACGUGCCCUAUUCAUCGCCAGCUACUCCAGCUACCUUCAUCGCCUCCGGGUUACCUGCUAAGCCAUCACCGAUGCAUUUCUGCUAAGCCGUCACUGACGCAAACUCCUACACUACUACACGUCUACAGCGCUUUCUUCAGCUACUUUCCGGGACUCUUUCAAGCUUCUGCCAAGCCUGCCCCAUCAGCCUGUUCCCAUACGACUUCAAGCCAUCACCGACGCCGUCCUUGUUUCAAGUCUGGACUUUUCAAGCCGUCAUCGACGCAACUCGACUGCUUUGCUGCUGAUCCCAUCGUUCCAAGAUUUUGGAUCUGUUAGCCGUCAGUCUCCACUUCAACCUGCUCAUCGACUUGCUGCUGUUCUGUCGCUUCAAAAUUGGACUUCUCAGCCAUCAGUCUUCUGCUGCAAGCUGUGAUGUUUUCUCGUGGCCGUCUCUGCACCCACCACACACGACGAAGAUUAUCUCCAUCAUGUGUGUUAUUUGUGCAACGUUAUGAUUUUUGUAGUGUAUUAGUGUUAUUUUGCAAUUUAUUUUGCAUAGAAACGCCUUAUUCUCUUGUUUUAGGCCUCUAGUGUUGUGCUAGUGUUUUUCUUGGCUUGUGAUUCGCUGUGCUGACGUCACAGUUACGUGAGUUUUGUGAUUGGCCACUGUGCUCUCUCUUCUGAUGUCAAUGCUAUGUGAGUUUUGUGAUUCACCAAUGCAUGCCCACUGUUCUGAUGUCAUUGUUCUAUGAGCCUUGCGAAUGGCUAUAGCGCAUACAUCACGUGUCUUACACCGAUAAGCGUGUCCUUAUGAUAUGAAUUAUGUUUCAGCGUGCUUGCAUCACCCCACAUGCUUUGUUCGUUGCGAGUACGCCACGAGAAGGGUGGCCGACCGAUGUGGUGGGACGCUUCGCUCGCCCCUGCAUUCCAUUUUCCGUUUCCCUGGGACCUGAUGCCAAGCCUCUGGCCACCCGCCUAUCACCACGUGGCAGUGGGGUCAACCCUCACCCCUUUGUCUCCUGGACGCCACCCCCAGCUGUAACCUGAGUCAGCCCAGCAACCACCCCAGCAUCAGGAAUCUUUGUCCGCCUUCCUUCGGAAAGAGACCACAUAUGCAUGCAACGACGUUCAAAGAGGACCAGCGAAUUACAGAGGCACCGAGUGUGGGUAAGAUGCCGUAUCCUGUUUGCCUGAGAAACAACCUUGGACUAUGCAUCAGGAGGCAUCCACACAACACUUUGGACUUCUGCACUAAUCUUUUCUGAGCAGCAUGCAAACAAAGGACUGGAUUUUUGGUCACGGGUGACUUUUUCUGAUGAUCGAUAAAAUCAGGUAAAAGCCUCACAUCAUCUACCAGAAGAAAAGGAGCGGCCAUGUCACUGGCAAUGUUUUUUUUUAUGGAUUUUCAUGGAUGACGUGGGUAACGUGAUUGAAAUGGGAAAAAAGAUCCACUGUUUCUAUUUGGACCUUCUUGAGAACUUCCUGCUCCCUUCACCCCAAAUUAAAAAGUGCCCCGCUCACCCUGGGGUCAUUAUAUUCGUCCAGGUCCCAACCCUAUCCAUACGGCGAAGGAAUGAUUUUCAUAUCGAAAUGACAUGAUGCCUCUAAAAUGUCCUACGUUCCGACCUUAGUCUAAUAGAGCAUGUAUAUUUAUAUAUGGUCAACAGAAUGGAAUGACAGCAGGAAGUCUUCACUACUUAUUUGCCCACAAGGGACUGAAUAAAUUCUUUGU